UGGGGAAUAUUGCGCAAUGGGCAAAAGCCUGACGCAGCGACGCCGCGUGGGGGAUGAAGCUUCUCGGAGUGUAAACCCCUUUCGACCCGGACGAAUGACCCGCAAGGGUUUGACGGUACGGGUAUAAGAAGCCCCGGCUAACUACGUGCCAGCAGCCGCGGUAAUACGUAGGGGGCCAGCGUUGCUCGGAAUUACUGGGCGUAAAGGGUUCGUAGGUGGUGCGGUAAGUUGGGAGUGAAAUCUCUGGGCUUAACUCAGGGGCUGCUUUCAAAACUGCCGUGCUCGAGUGCGAGAGAGGUCAGUGGAAUUGCAGGUGUAGCGGUGAAAUGCGUAGAUAUCUGCAGGAACACCCGUGGCGAAGGCGGCUGACUGGAUCGCAACUGACACUGAGGAACGAAAGCUAGGGGAGCAAACA
This 415-nucleotide ribosomal RNA is filed under the name uncultured bacterium. RNAcentral's name for it is "bacterial SSU rRNA". It matches the Rfam family "Bacterial small subunit ribosomal RNA", at positions 355 to 774 of the family's 1533-position model. The record is from RNAcentral.